RNAcentral lists this ribosomal RNA (544 nucleotides) under uncultured bacterium. RNAcentral describes it as "bacterial SSU rRNA". It matches the Rfam family "Bacterial small subunit ribosomal RNA", at positions 774 to 1319 of the family's 1533-position model. The record is from RNAcentral.
AGUGAAUAGAUACCCGGGUAGUCCACGCCCUAAACGAUGUCUACUAGUUGUCGGGGAUUCAUUUCCUUGGUAAACGCAGCUAAACGCGUGAAGUAGACCGCCUGGGGAGUACGGCCGCAAGGUUAAAACUCAAAGGAAUUGACGGGGACCCGCACAAGCGGUGGAUGAUGUGGAUUAAUUCGAUGCAACGCGAAAAACCUUACCUACGCUUGACAUGCCAGGAACUUUCCAGAGAUGGAUUGGUGCCCGAAAGGGAACCUGGACACAGGUGCUGCAUGGCUGUCGUCAGCUCGUGUCGUGAGAUGUUGGGUUAAGUCCCGCAACGAGCGCAACCCUUAUCCUUAGUUGCUACGCAAGGGCACUCUAGGGAGACUGCCGGUGACAAACCGGAGGAAGGUGGGGAUGACGUCAAGUCCUCAUGGCCCUUAUGUGUAGGGCUUCACACGUCAUACAAUGGUCGGUACAGAGGGUCGCCAACCCGCGAGGGGUAGCCAAUCCCAGAAAACCCGAUCGUAGUCCGGAUUGCAGUCUGCAACUCGACUGC